CCUACGGGAGGCAGCAGUAGGGAAUAUUGGGCAAUGGACGCAAGUCUGACCCAGCCAUGCCGCGUGCAGGAUGAAGGCGUUAUGCGUCGUAAACUGCUUUUAUACAGGAAGAAACGACUCUUGCGAGAGGCAUUGACGGUACUGUAUGAAUAAGCACCGGCUAACUCCGUGCCAGCAGCCGCGGUAAUACGGAGGGUGCAAGCGUUGUCCGGAUUUAUUGGGUUUAAAGGGUGCGCAGGUGGUUUAUUAAGUCAGUGGUGAAAGACGGUCGCUCAACGAUUGCAGUGCCAUUGAAACUAGUAGACUUGAGUAAAGUAGAGGUGGGCGGAAUUGAUAGUGUAGCGGUGAAAUGCAUAGAUAUUAUCAAGAACUCCAAUUGCGUAGGCAGCUCACUUGGCUUUUACUGACACUCAUGCACGAAAGUGUGGGUAUCAAACAGGAUUAGAUACCCUGGUAGUCCACACUGUAAACGAUGAUAACUAGGUGUCGGCCGAAUCUGGUCGGUGCCNCAGNGAAGACGUAGUUAUCACCGNGGAGACGCGCGACGAGAACGACAANAGAGUAGAGCGNGAGGAGNGCGAGGCGACGACGAGGGGAGGUAGG
RNAcentral lists this ribosomal RNA (603 nucleotides) under uncultured bacterium. Its description in RNAcentral is "bacterial SSU rRNA". The stretch from base 1 to 531 matches the Rfam family "Bacterial small subunit ribosomal RNA", at positions 338 to 873 of the family's 1533-position model. The record is from RNAcentral.